Molecule: ribosomal RNA, 430 nt
Filed under: uncultured eukaryote
Lineage: Eukaryota
Description: bacterial SSU rRNA
Rfam family: Eukaryotic small subunit ribosomal RNA
Source: RNAcentral
CAAUAGCGUAUAUUAAAGUUGUUGCGGUUAAAAAGCUCGUAGUUGGAUUUCUGGCACAGCGUCCCUGACCCGCUUCCGCAAGGGAGUGAGCGCACGGGGUUACGCUUGUCAUCCGUCCAGAGAGUAGCACUGCUCUUAACUGAGUUGGUGUUGCGAUCUGGGCCUUUUACUUUGAAAAAUUAGAGUGUUUAAAGCAGGCUUGCGCCGUGAAUACAUUAGCAUGGAAUAAUAAUCUAGGACUUUGUUCCUAUUUUGUUGGUUCUCUGGAACGAAGUAAUGAUUGAUAGGGAUAGUUGGGGGUGCUAGAACUCAGCGGCCAGAGGUGAAAUUCUUGGAUUCGCUGAAGUCUAACUAAUGCGAAAGCAUUCACCAAGGAUGUCUUCUUUAAUCAAGAACGAAAGUUGGGGGAUCGAAGACGAUUAGAUACCGU